UACGAAGGGGGCUAGCGUUGUUCGGAAUUACUGGGCGUAAAGGGCGCGUAGGCGGACAGUUUAGUCAGAGGUGAAAGCCCAGGGCUCAACCCCGGAACUGCCUUUGAAACUGGCGGACUAGAAUCUUGGAGAGGCGAGUGGAAUUCCGAGUGUAGAGGUGAAAUUCGUAGAUAUUCGGAAGAACACCAGUGGCGAAGGCGACUCGCUGGACAAGUAUUGACGCUGAGGUGCGAAAGCGUGGGGAGCAAACAGG
RNAcentral lists this ribosomal RNA (253 nucleotides) under uncultured bacterium. Its description in RNAcentral is "partial 16S ribosomal RNA". It matches the Rfam family "Bacterial small subunit ribosomal RNA", at positions 524 to 776 of the family's 1533-position model. The record is from RNAcentral.